GUGAGCAGGUAAAUGGUUCACACAUUGGAUUAGCACCUUCGGUUAUUCAUACGUUCCAGGUGUAUCAUAAAUAUCGUAAAGUGGUGCAUGAUCGCAGUGAUUCGGAAAUUGUUCGGCGGCGGGAAAAAAUGUUAUCGGACGUCGACUAGUUCCCGGCCACAAUGGGCUGUUCUGCGGGGCAUUACUUGAGUCGGAUGGAACGAGACUGGUGGUGGGUGGGCUUGCAAGCACACGCGGCUCACCCGUGAAAAUAAACAUCCGAUCGAUCAUCCUAUAUAUCCGCUACUCAUCUGGCGUUUCUUGAAUGAUCAAGUCCAGUAUUUCAAUCGCCUGGAGGUACCUGUUCGCAACCCACAAUUGACACUGAUCGAUGCACGAGCCACCAGAAUCGCCGAGGAUUAUCAAUAUUCCCAUCGGAGAAGUUCGAAGGCUCCUCUUUCCACCGGAAAGACCUUCAACGGAAGUUCGAAAUCCCGAACUCGAGUAUUGGUCAUUUGAGACAACAUUAUUCUUGGGGAUUGGAUCGACCCGAUUGAAAAAUGCUUUCUUUAGGAGAGAGAUACCAAGUGAAUAAACAAAGCUGAGCGCACUUUUUCUCCGCGCAAAACUGGACUGUCGCCUUAUUUUCCACUUGUCAAUACCAAUCAGCGCAAAUGGAUGGCUCACCAGGAAGUAGUAGGUACAGUAUCAGUGGUCGCAGAAACACCACAUGAGUGUAUCCACUUGAUGAAUUUGGCAUCCGUCCUAAAUGCCUUUUGGCAUGAGCAAACCUCGAGGAAAUAGAGAAUGUUUCAUUCAUACAAUAUUACGAUUAUCGUGAGAUGGAGGGCACUUCCUGUACUACGCAGAAAGAUGACCCAUAAAAAUCUGGAAGAUGAUAACGUAACAGGAAAAUGCAAUUUGAGAAGGGAAACCGCAAAACUGUUGGUACUCGAUUUGUUUUCUCCCCUCGAGCAGUUUCGUCCACGUUUCAUUCAUCUUGCAAGCUUUUUCGUUCCGGAAUGUCUUCAAAUUACUGUUUGAAUCCUCUGUCCCAUAGUAAGAAUCAUGGAGAACAUAAAAUUUAA
Diachasmimorpha longicaudata is the source of this 1067-nucleotide RNA transcript. RefSeq lists it as uncharacterized. The record is from RefSeq and is a predicted model, not a curated record. Lineage: Eukaryota; Metazoa; Arthropoda; Insecta; Hymenoptera; Braconidae. The transcript has 4 exons.